GCCGGGGUCCCCAAGCCUGGUAUGGGGCUGGUCUGCUAAACCAGUGGCCUUUGGCCGCGCGGGUUCAAAUCCCGCCCCCGGCGCC
This 85-nucleotide transfer RNA is filed under the name archaeon HR03. RNAcentral describes it as "tRNA-Ser". It matches the Rfam family "tRNA". Rfam says of the family: Transfer RNA (tRNA) molecules are approximately 80 nucleotides in length. The record is from RNAcentral.